CUAUUCAUCUGAUGGGUGACUCUCAGGUUUGGCCUCUCAUUUUCCAGGGAAGGCCUGGCAGUCUCUAAGGAGACAGCUAACACCUGAGAAAAGAAAAGAAGCAAGUAGCUCAUGCUUUAGGACUCCCGUCAUCCGAAGGCUGAGAGAGCCCAGUGGAAGAACUCCACGAUAAUAACUCCUGGCUGUAGAAUCUACCCACUGUGGGUCUGUAAGAUGAAAAGAGUGGGACUUGAGAAACGAGACAAGAAAAUAAGAAAAGGGCUUAACAAAUACUGUAACUGCAAACCAUUUACUCAGACAAAACUCCUCUCUUAUCCUAGAGACCAGAAAGGAAGUAACUCCGCUCUCUGGAACUCCAGGAUAGGGAGGCACCUUGGCCUACAUGUUCACUAGGAGGAGCCUGCAAAUGGCACCUUCCCACACCCAUGUGAGUCAGCAGAAAACCGGCCUCUCAUACAGUGCCUCCUCCCCACACCCCCUGCCCCGGGACUGCAGGAAGAGAAGAGAAGAGAAGAGAAGAGAAGAGAAGAGAAGAGAAGAGAAGAGAAGAGAAGAGAAGAGAAGAGAAGAGAAGAGAAGAAAGAAAGAAAGAAAGAAAAAAAAAAAGAAAAGAAAAGAAAAGAAAAGAAAAAAAAGAAAAGAAUACCUAUCUUUAAAAGGGUACCAUGGGGUAUGUAAUGGUAUGUGCCUGUAAUCCCAGCACUCUGGGAGACGGAGGCAGGAAGAUUGCGAGUUCAAGCCCAGCUGAGCAAUUUAGUGAGACCCUGUCUCAAAAUAAAAAAAAAUAGCAUAUGGAUGUAGCUCAGUGUGGAGACCCUGGGUUCAACCCCCAGUAUCACCAAAAAAAAAAAAAGCUUAUAACCAUGAGCUGAUAUUUUUGCAGACUGUCAACCUACCAAAGGUCUGCAAUUUUUUUCCUUUUUUUUUUUUUUUUUUGGCUUUUUGAGACAGGGUUUCACUAUGCAGUUCAAGCUGUCCUUGAACUCACCGGGCUGGCCUUGAACUCAUAGCCAUCCUCCUGCCUCAGCCUCCCGAGUGCUGGGAUUACAGGCAUGUACCACCAAGCCCACCUGCAAUAUUGAUGUGGUUCAAAAAUUUAAACUAUGGUUUAAAAUAGAACUGCAUGAAAAUAAUGAUGAAAAAUAGGGAAAAGGAUACAGAAAGGGGACUGGAGAACAAUGAAGGUAGACACAAUUUCUGUCACGCCUCGGCCACAUUGAAAUGCUCCCAGCUCUUCACAGUGAAUGAAUCCAUGCACACCUUCUCCUCUUUGCAACAGCCAUGGCCACCACUGUUCCAGAGGCUCUCAAGAGUCAGUUAGCCCAGGUUCAAAUCCUGACUCUGCCACUCACUAGCUAAGGGUCUUUGAGCAAGCUAUUUCAUCUCUCUGGCUGUUUUCCUCUUCUGAAAAACAGGGAUGACCCCAGUUCUUCCUGAGGCUGAUUGUGAAACUUUGAAUUUUAACGUACAUGGACUAUUUAGUAGAAUAUCUAGGACAAGCCGGGCAUGGUGGCACAUGAUUCUAAUCCCAGAACUUGGGAGGCUGAGGCAGGAGGAUCAUUGCAAGUUUGAGACCAGCCUGGGCUACAAAGUGAGCUAAAAGCCCGCCUGAAGUGCACAGCAAGAUCCUGUCACAAAAAAAAAAAAAAAAAAAAAGAAAGAAAGAAUAUCUAGGACAUGCUUCCUAGUUCAUAGGAAAUAAUUGCAUGGUGACAGGGAAGUCCUAAAGAUGAUGACAGUUUUCUUAAUGCAGGUAAAAUAUUGCCUCUUCUCUAAGUCUUCUCUGCCUCCUGGCACUACAAAACUUUAUAUAUACCUCAUCCUGGACUGCUUAUUACAUUUCAUUGCAAUCAUGUAUUGACAGUUUUAUCUUCCCCUUGGAACUAUAAGUUAUUUGAUGGUGGAGACUAAAUCUUAUUUGUUGUAACACCUGUUGCUAGUACAGAGCUUGACACAUAAUAGAUGCUUAGUAAGUGUUUGGUGAUAUUUGUGUGGAUUAAUGACUUUACUUCCCUUAAUGGAAUAAUUUUUUCUAUAAGCAAUUUCUUGCUGUUGUCUUUGGUUCCUUACCCCUUAUUCUGUUCCCACUUUAAGGCACAAACAUCAAAUACUGGCCUCUCACUUGAAAUGUGUCUCUGGAAUGUACAUUUCCUAAGAAAACAGCCCUAGUAUCUUAUCUGCCUGAUUUCACUCUGCAUGGGCCAUGAGUGUCAGGAAAAUGACUACACCACCAUAAAAAUGACAUUGGCAAACAGACUGGGCCGAUGAGUCAUGAGAUCGGUAACCAAGAAAUAUUCACACAAUUCUUCCGGCUUAUGUGGGAACAUGGGUUUGAAUUGACUUCCUGGUUCUGUUGUAUUCAUGGGAAGAACACUGCACUGGGGUCAGCAGACUGACAUUUAGGUCCCAGAUUCACUGCUUCUUUGUUACAUGCCCUUGG
Molecule: long non-coding RNA, 2440 nt
Filed under: Chinchilla lanigera (long-tailed chinchilla)
Lineage: Eukaryota; Metazoa; Chordata; Mammalia; Rodentia; Chinchillidae
Description: lncRNA (ENSCLAG00000022219.1)
Source: RNAcentral